This 447-nucleotide ribosomal RNA is filed under the name uncultured bacterium. RNAcentral describes it as "bacterial SSU rRNA". It matches the Rfam family "Bacterial small subunit ribosomal RNA", at positions 330 to 793 of the family's 1533-position model. The record is from RNAcentral.
UCCAGACUCCUACGGGAGGCAGCAGUGGGGAAUAUUGGGCAAUGGGCGCAAGCCUGACCCAGCAACGCCGCGUGAAGGAAGAAGGCUUUCGGGUUGUAAACUUCUUUUGACAGGGAAGAGCAGAAGACGGUACCUGUCGAAUAAGCCACGGCUAACUACGUGCCAGCAGCCGCGGUAAUACAUAGGAUGCAAGCGUUAUCCGGAUUUACUGGGCGUAAAACGAGCGCAGGCGGGUUAACAAGUUCGGUAUGAAAGGCUUUUGCUUAACGAAAGUUUGUAUCAAAAACUGUUAAUCUAGAGUGUAGUAGAGAGUUCUGGAAUUCCAUGUGGAGCGGUGGAAUGCGUAGAUAUAUGGAAGAACACCAGUGGCGAAGGCGAGAACUUAGGCUAUCACUGACGCUUAGGCUCGAAAGUGUGGGGAGCAAAUAGGAUUAGAUACCCCGGUAA